Long non-coding RNA from Erpetoichthys calabaricus (reedfish), 241 nucleotides. RefSeq lists it as uncharacterized. The record is from RefSeq and is a predicted model, not a curated record. The transcript has 3 exons. NCBI's taxonomy places the organism in Eukaryota, Metazoa, Chordata, Cladistia, Polypteriformes, Polypteridae.
CGUGGCACCAAACUGGCACAUCACGUCAAGAAUUACAACAUAACCUCUGUGUGGAGGGGCACAGAAAGAACCAAGCCUGGACAGGGUGCCAGUCCAACUCAGGGUCCACAGAGCCCCAGUUUAGACCGUUCACGGGGCACCAACAAGGACCAGCAGGCAGCUGCUAAAGGGCGCCCCCUACCGCAAGCGUCCGUAAGUGACAGAUUCGGACGCCGGACUCCAGCGAUCUCACGUGGACGUU